RNAcentral lists this ribosomal RNA (244 nucleotides) under uncultured bacterium. Its description in RNAcentral is "partial 16S ribosomal RNA". It matches the Rfam family "Bacterial small subunit ribosomal RNA", at positions 1248 to 1500 of the family's 1533-position model. The record is from RNAcentral.
CGAAAGACAGUGAUGCAGAGCAAAUCCCAAAACGACAGUCUUAGUUCGGAUUGUAGGCUGCAACUCGCCUACAUGAAGUCGGAAUUGCUAGUAAUCGCGGAUCAGCAUGCCGCGGUGAAUACGUUCCCGGGCCUUGUACACACCGCCCGUCAAGCCAUGGGAGCCGGGAGCGCUUGAAGUGCGUCGCCGCGAGGCGCGCCCUAGAGCGAGACCGGUGACUGGGGCUAAGUCGUAACAAGGUAUC